This 63-nucleotide transfer RNA is filed under the name Bactericera cockerelli (potato/tomato psyllid). Its description in RNAcentral is "tRNA-Ser". Lineage: Eukaryota; Metazoa; Arthropoda; Insecta; Hemiptera; Triozidae. The record is from RNAcentral.
AGCUUCUUAAUUUAUAUAAAAUAUUUACCUUGAAAGUAAAAAAAGUAAUUAACUCAGUAGCUU